AGUCGAGCGAAUGAGAAGAGCUUGCUCUUCGAUUCAGCGGCGGACGGGUGAGUAAUGCCUAGGAGUCUGCCUGGUAGUGGGGGACAACGUUUCGAAAGGAACGCUAAUACCGCAUACGUCCUACGGGAGAAAGCAGGGGACCUUCGGGCCUUGCGCUAUCAGAUGAGCCUAGGUCGGAUUAGCUAGUUGGUGAGGUAAUGGCUCACCAAGGCGACGAUCCGUAACUGGUCUGAGAGGAUGAUCAGUCACACUGGAACUGAGACACGGUCCAGACUCCUACGGGAGGCAGCAGUGGGGAAUAUUGGACAAUGGGCGAAAGCCUGAUCCAGCCAUGCCGCGUGUGUGAAGAAGGUCUUCGGAUUGUAAAGCACUUUAAGUUGGGAGGAAGGGCAUUAACCUAAUACGUUAGUGUUUUGACGUUACCAACAGAAUAAGCACCGGCUAACUCUGUGCCAGCAGCCGCGGUAAUACAGAGGGUGCAAGCGUUAAUCGGAAUUACUGGGCGUAAAGCGCGCGUAGGUGGUUUGUUAAGUUGAAUGUGAAAGCCCCGGGCUCAACCUGGGAACUGCAUCCAAAACUGGCAAGCUAGAGUACGGUAGAGGGUGGUGGAAUUUCCUGUGUAGCGGUGAAAUGCGUAGAUAUAGGAAGGAACACCAGUGGCGAAGGCGACCACCUGGACUGAUACUGACACUGAGGUGCGAAAGCGU
Molecule: ribosomal RNA, 707 nt
Filed under: uncultured Pseudomonadales bacterium
Lineage: Bacteria; Pseudomonadati; Pseudomonadota; Gammaproteobacteria; Pseudomonadales
Description: bacterial SSU rRNA
Rfam family: Bacterial small subunit ribosomal RNA
Source: RNAcentral